AUUGAACGCUGGCGGCAUGCUUUACACAUGCAAGUCGAACGGUAACAGGCCUUCGGGUGCUGACGAGUGGCGAACGGGUGAGUAAUGCAUCGGAACGUACCCAGAGGUGGGGGAUAACGCAGCGAAAGCUGUGCUAAUACCGCAUGUGAUCUGAGGAUGAAAGCGGGGGACCGAGCAGCAAUGUUUGGCCUCGCGCCUUUGGAGCGGCCGAUGUCGGAUUAGCUAGUUGGUGGGGUAAAGGCCUACCAAGUCGACGAUCCGUAGCUGGUCUGAGAGGACGACCGGCCACACUGGGACUGAGACACGGACCAGACUCCUACGGGAGGCAGCAGUGGGGAAUGUUGGACAGUGGGCGCAAGCCUGAUCCAGCAAUGCCGCGUGCGGGAAGAAGGCCUUCGGGUUGUAAACCGCUUUUGGCAGGAACGAAACGGUGUCCGCUAAUACCGGGCGCGAAUGACGGUACCUGCAGAAUAAGCACCGGCUAACUACGUG
Molecule: ribosomal RNA, 492 nt
Filed under: uncultured bacterium
Lineage: Bacteria
Description: partial 16S ribosomal RNA
Rfam family: Bacterial small subunit ribosomal RNA
Source: RNAcentral